UUGUAAAAUGGUUGUUCCAAGUCGCUCUGGAUAAGAGCGUCUGCUAAAUGACUUAAA
Salmo salar (Atlantic salmon) is the source of this 57-nucleotide non-coding RNA. The record is from Rfam. NCBI's taxonomy places the organism in Eukaryota, Metazoa, Chordata, Actinopteri, Salmoniformes, Salmonidae.